AAGACCCUGGAAUUGCCUUCUGGCCAGAAACAAUCUUCCUCUGUGCAGGACCUCAUGGAAGGACCUGAGCAGGGGAACAAGCUACUCUUCAGUGUACUGUUCAUGAGAUUGCUAUUCAUGAAGACUGUGGCCAUCAAUGUCCUCUUAAGUGCCAUGGCCUUGAUCUUCUGAGGAAGAACCUGAGGAAGAGGGUCCAAGAAGCUAUUGCUUUGAUUCUGGAUCUCUCAGGGAUCCCAGAAUGACUUCUGGAUAACCUCAAGAUAACGCUAUAAUGAUAUCAAGGACCCAAAAUUAUCCCUGCUACAUUCAAUCUUCUUUGAAUAGGAGACUCUUUAGUCCUGAGUCUACAUUUCCCAUGAUAUAGCAUUUCUCAUUUCUUUACUUCUACAAUAAAGACAAGAAAACUUUGCUGGACUCUGGGCUUCUAUGUAUUAUGGUGGUUUAUGUAAAAGCUAAGUCUAUAUGGAUCUGACAAUUUAGCCUUCUGUGAUGUCCUCACCUCAU
This is a long non-coding RNA of Sarcophilus harrisii (Tasmanian devil), 504 nucleotides long. RefSeq lists it as uncharacterized. The record is from RefSeq and is a predicted model, not a curated record. NCBI's taxonomy places the organism in Eukaryota, Metazoa, Chordata, Mammalia, Dasyuromorphia, Dasyuridae. The transcript is spliced from 3 exons.